CACUUUCCAUUGUCUAAGAAUAAACCGAAUAUGGUAAAUCCGCGAAUGGCUCAUUACAACAGCUAUAAUUUAUUGGAUCUAUACAGUUACUAGGAUAACUGUGUCAACCCAGAGCUAAUACUUGCAAUCAAACCCCGACUUCGGAAAGGGUGCAUUUAUUAGUACAAAACCAAUUGGCUUCGGCCAUCAAUUGGUGAGUCUGAGUAACUACGCAGAUCGCAUGGGCUUGUCCCGGCGACAUAUCCUUCAGGUGUCUGCCUUAUCAACUGUCGAUGGUAGUUUAUUGGACUACCAUGGUUGUAACGGGUAACGGAGAAUUAGGGUUCGACUCCGGAGAGGGAGCCUGAGAUACGGCUACCACAUCCAAGGAAGGCAGCAGGCGCGCAAAUUACCCACUCUCAGAACGAGGAGGUAGUGACGAAAAAUAACGAGACAGUCUUCUAUGAGGUCUGUCAUCGGAAUGGGUACAAUCUAAACCCUUUAACGAGGAUCUAUUGGAGGGCAAGUCUGGUGCCAGCAGCCGCGGUAAUUCCAGCUCCAAUAGCGUAUAUUAAAGUUGUUGCGGUUAAAAAGCUCGUAGUUGGAUCUGCGACCAUCAAGACCGGUAGCCCAUUGGGUCUCACUGGUUCCUGUGGUCUGCUUACUGGUUUUUGCCUUGGUGCGCUAAACUGAAUGCCC
Molecule: ribosomal RNA, 678 nt
Filed under: uncultured eukaryote
Lineage: Eukaryota
Description: bacterial SSU rRNA
Rfam family: Eukaryotic small subunit ribosomal RNA
Source: RNAcentral